AGAAUUCCGCUUCUUAUAGUUCAGACUAAGGAUCCCAUCUUGUGCCUGGUAAAUGACAAAUGGCUUCCUUGGUUUCUUGAUGGCCCAAUGAAAUGAAAGAAAAGUCCAGUCCUAGUUAGCCUUGCCUUGCUUGGAGCAGUUUUGAUCAUGCAAACAGGCCAUUAACCAACUUUGAAAUUAGUAAAUGCAAUAAUCAUGAAACAGAGUCAAAGAAGUGGGUGACUAAUGCAAGAACUCACAACCCUGAAAUUAAAGACUAAAUUCCUACAACCUCCAGGAUUCGCUCAUGACAGUCCCUAGAUGGAAAAAAAGUCACAAAGUGAGUAAUUUUGAUGGCAAGGAAGAUCCAGGAUCAAAAGUACCAGAACAUGAGAACUUUAUACAAUGGGAGCAAGUGGAGGGACCUCUGAAUUUAAGAAUCAAUAUGCCUACUAUUAUUGGGAAAACCAAAUACAUACAAGGCUGUGCUACACUGUACAGCAAGACCUCAUCAUCAUUUACUUUCAGCAGGCCUAAAUGGGAAUGAGGCCUAAAUGGGAAUCCAGGUAACUAACUGACUUCCAUCAAUGUGAAAAGAGAAGUCUAGGGCUCAAGACCAACUCAAGAUGGACUCUAAGCCAAGUUGAAAACAAACUUACCCAGUGUCACAGUUUUGUCAAUAGUUUAUCCCUUGAAAAGUAUCAUAUAAACUAUUGCCUUCUUCAAAUGAAACAACAAUUCUUUAUUGAAUCUGAAGAGAAAUAUAGUCUUGCUAUUUUGAGAGUGGGAAGAAUUUAUUUUUUUUUCUUGCCCAUCUUUGGACCACAUUUCUUUGCCAGAAUAAAACAUACUGAUAUGUGCCCCUCUGGAUUAAAAAAUUAUGACAACUUA
This is a long non-coding RNA of Canis lupus familiaris (dog), 870 nucleotides long. RefSeq lists it as uncharacterized. The transcript has 2 exons. The record is from RefSeq and is a predicted model, not a curated record. Lineage: Eukaryota; Metazoa; Chordata; Mammalia; Carnivora; Canidae.